RNAcentral lists this unclassified non-coding RNA (224 nucleotides) under uncultured fungus. Its description in RNAcentral is "sequence contains ITS1, 5.8S rRNA gene". The record is from RNAcentral. Lineage: Eukaryota; Fungi.
GUAUUAUUUAUUAAGGCCUUGCGGCACAAUCACGUUCAAUAUUGUAAACCAGUGCAUAAUGAGAGGAAGGGACAACUCCGAGGAGAACUCGGAGAUCCCUCUUUAAAUGUGCACAGGUGUUUGGAUGAAGAUUGUUAGGAGCGAGUACAUGCAGCCACGCGCUGCCAGCAUCAACCUCCUAUUACAAUUCAUUAAUGAUCCUUCCGCAGGUUCACCUACGGAAA